Molecule: ribosomal RNA, 392 nt
Filed under: Protaspa sp.
Lineage: Eukaryota; Cercozoa; Thecofilosea; Cryomonadida; Protaspidae
Description: partial small subunit ribosomal RNA
Rfam family: Eukaryotic small subunit ribosomal RNA
Source: RNAcentral
AGCUCCAGUAGCGUAUAUUAAAGUUGCUGCAGUUAAAAAGCUCGUAGUUGGAUUUCUGGUCUAAUGCGCCUGGCCCGCCACGGUUACGUGUGUGAGUGCCGGUGUGCGUUGACCAUCUUCCUAGGAAACGGUGCUACCCUUCACUGGGUCGGCGCCGCGAUCUAGGACUUUUACUUUGAAAAAAUUAGAGUGUUUAAAGCAGGCUUUUGCUAUGAAUACAUUAGCAUGGAAUAAUAAUCUAGGACUUCGGUUCUAUUUUGUUGGUUUCUAGGACUGAAGUAAUGAUUGAUAGGGAUCGUUGGGGGUGCUAGUAUUGAGCGGCCAGAGGUGAAAUUCUUGGAUUCGCUCAAGACUAACUUAUGCGAAAGCAUUCACCAAGGAGGUCUUCUUUA